GGACGAACGCUGGCGGCGUGCCUAACACAUGCAAGUCGAGCGGGGGACAUGCGACGGAAUUGAAGUUUUCGGAUGGAUAUGAAGAUGUAUGUUCUAGCGGCGGACGGGUGAGUAACGCGUGAGCAACCUGUCCCUUACAGGGGGAUAACACAGCGAAAGUUGUACUAAUACCGCAUAAGACCACAGGGAGACAUCUUCCGGGGGUCAAAGGAGCAAUCCGGUAAGGGGUGGGCUCGCGUCCGAUUAGAUAGUUGGUGAGGUAACGGCCCACCAAGUCGACGAUCGGUAGCCGACCUGAGAGGGUGAUCGGCCACAUUGGGACUGAGACACGGCCCAAACUCCUACGGGAGGCAGCAGUGGGGAAUAUUGGGCAAAUGGGGGAAACCCUGACCCAGCAACGCCGCGUGAGGGAAGAAGGUUUUCGGAUCGUAAACCUCUGUCCUUGGUGAAGAGGAAGAGACGGUAGCCAAGGAGGAAGCCCCGGCUAACUACGUGCCAGCCGCCGC
This 506-nucleotide ribosomal RNA is filed under the name uncultured bacterium. Its description in RNAcentral is "bacterial SSU rRNA". It matches the Rfam family "Bacterial small subunit ribosomal RNA", at positions 27 to 518 of the family's 1533-position model. The record is from RNAcentral.